This 252-nucleotide ribosomal RNA is filed under the name uncultured bacterium. RNAcentral's name for it is "partial 16S ribosomal RNA". It matches the Rfam family "Bacterial small subunit ribosomal RNA", at positions 524 to 776 of the family's 1533-position model. The record is from RNAcentral.
GACGUAGGGCGCGAGCAUUAUCCGGAUUCACUGGGCGUAAAGCGCGUUGAGGCGGCUCCGUAAGUUGGGCGUGAAAGCCCCGGGCUUAACCCGGGGAGGCCGUCCAAUACUGCGGGGCUUGAGGGCAGCAGAGGGAGGUGGAAUUCCCGGUGUAGUGGUGAAAUGCGUAGAUAUCGGGAGGAACACCCGUGGCGAAGGUGGCCUCCUGGGCUGCUCUUGACGCUGAAGGCGAAAGCCAGGGGAGCGAACGGG